UACGUAGGGUGCAAGCGUUGUCCGGAAUUAUUGGGCGUAAAGAGCUCGUAGGCGGUCUGUCGCGUCGGCUGUGAAAACCCGGAGCUCAACUCCGGGCCUGCAGUCGAUACGGGCAGACUGGAGUUCGGCAGGGGAGACUGGAAUUCCUGGUGUAGCGGUGAAAUGCGCAGAUAUCAGGAGGAACACCGAUGGCGAAGGCAGGGUCUCUGGGCCGAUACUGACGCUGAGGAGCGAAAGCGUGGGGAGCGAACAGG
This 254-nucleotide ribosomal RNA is filed under the name uncultured bacterium. Its description in RNAcentral is "partial 16S ribosomal RNA". It matches the Rfam family "Bacterial small subunit ribosomal RNA", at positions 524 to 776 of the family's 1533-position model. The record is from RNAcentral.